This 9956-nucleotide long non-coding RNA is filed under the name Equus asinus (donkey). Its description in RNAcentral is "lncRNA (ENSEASG00005029522.1)". The record is from RNAcentral. Lineage: Eukaryota; Metazoa; Chordata; Mammalia; Perissodactyla; Equidae.
GAUUCACUCUUCCUGUUUACUUUUGGAAUACUCUCCAAAUCCAUAAGCAAAAGAGUUGAAUAGAAGAAGGAGAGAGGAAGAAAAAGAAUAAAAGAAAAAAGAAGACAGGAGAGAGGAAGAAGAAGGAAAAUGAUUAAUGUCCUGUUAUCCCCACCUGCAAACCUGGCUGGAGUUGAUAACAAAACCUUUACUGCUGUUCUCUGGUAGCCUUUUCUAUGUGCCAUAGGGAUGUGGUUUCUGAAGGAAAUGAGUUCUAGGUUUUUCUCACAAAUAUCCAAAAGUAGAACAGUGGGGAUCUUGACUACUAAUCACCCCACAUAACAACAGGACCACAGUGGUGGAAUGUGGCUAAUGGGACUAGAAUCUUCUGCUUACUCAUUCGCUUUGGGAAUUAAAUUGUUCUUAGACUUGGUAUGCUGGUGGACUAAAUGUUUUAAUAAAAACAGCCACGAGACACCAGUUUUCUUUGCAAAGGCUUUUCCUUCUAACCACUCUGAAUAUAUUGCUGAGAGGUUCCUGCUUCUGGAAGACCAUCUGUGAGGCGCUUAGACUUACCUGAAAUUUCAGGGCACUAUGUCAGCCAGUUCCUUCACAGUGGUGUGUCUGGCGCCUGAACAAGGACUUGGUGGGCCAGACACAUUUAAAAUGUAAAAGGAGAUUAUAAUAUUAUUUUGCAUUGCAACAGUUAGAGUAUUUCUGGCUAGUUGCUGACAAGUCGAUCAUAAUAACCAUGCGUGGUGCAACAAACCACACGGCACUGUAUCAGAAGCUUAGAGUUACUAUCUUCAAAUGACCCAGAGAUUUUUUUGAAAAAGAGAAAUGGUGGAUGCUUUUUUCCCCCAUUCAGUAAGCAUAUAUUGAAUGCCUAUUGUCAGUGAUGGCCUCUUUAUUCACAGAAGGGAGCUGGGCUAUGCCAGACUCUCACCAUGUUCUUUCCUCUUUAACACUGAACAAAAUAUCAGUAAAACACCAAGUACUACAGCUUUUUUUGAACCUGAUAGGCAAUCAGUAUGUAGUAACUGGCCAUGCUGAUGAGAGUAGGAACUGGUGAUACUGAUAGCAAUGGGAAUGCAUUCCUCACAAAGGCACAGCAGUUUAAGAACAUUUCAGGGACAAUUCGGGGCGGGGGCGGUAAAUGAGCAGAUCUGGUCUGACCUAUUUACAUGUUCCAACAAAUGUCUAGAACUCUAGAUACCUUGAAAAAUCUGAGAACAUGAUCAUGCCAUUUUUAUGGGGAUGACAGAAUUCUUACGGAAAAGACUUGUAUAUGUUUAUCUAGUGAGCUUCUCUAUUUGUAGAAUACUCAGAAUACCUCUGAGAACCCAUCUUAAUUUUUAGAAUCAUUUAUAAGAAUCUGACAACUUAUUAUUAUAAAAUAAACUUCAAAGCAAUUACUUGAGAAGCUUGUUGACAAUCAAGAUACACAAAGUCCUGUCAGUGGGAUAAGGCAAAGUUAGAGUUCUCUAAAAUGGUUACAGAGAAGUGGGAAAAUGACAGAGUGGUUUGGCUGGAAGGCAUCUGACUAUAAAUCAGAAGAUCUAGGCCCCCAGCCAUAUGUGGCAACUGUUGCAUGAUCUUACAAGUCAUCAAACCUCUCCUGAGUCUCACUUUUCUCAUGUGUAAAAUGGGAGUGUUGGAUUAGGUGGUCUUUAAGAGUCUCUCUAGUUAUAACAUUUGAUGAUUUUAAAGUAAGAAAAGACCACAGAAUAAUUCCCUCUAAUUUGGUAAACACGUUGCUUUCUCCUGAGCUGUGUCUAUGUGGUUUGCAUUGGGUUUUAUGUUUCUGGGCUCUAGAAGUCACAUAGUAAAUAUUCGAGUCAUUCUUCCUUCUAUACAUGGGAAAAUUAGAAGAGAAUAAUUCUUCCUUUCUUUCUAUGUCAAUCUCUGUUUUCCAAUCAGACUUACAAGCUUAAGAUAAGGACACAAUCAUUCUGUUACUGACGAAGGCUCUUCCUCAUCUUUGUCACAGGCCCUUACUCAUGCUCAUGCAAGCUUAUCUGAUUGGGUUAUUUCUGUAUUUAUGUCCUGGCUAUUUUUUCUCUUUCAACUUGUUUAUGAAAUCCCUGGUAAGCAUAAAGCCGCAAAAACAAAAACAAAUAAAACAAAACAGCUCUGUUUGAAUAAUUUUCUUCAGUAAAGGCAGUAUAAGAAAACAUUCUAACACUCAGGGAAAAAAAAUCUUUUAAAAAUACUCCUAUAUCUUAGAAAAGAUGAAAUAAAAUGUUAUAUCAAUGAUAGUUUCAUACGUUGUUACUGCUUUUCAUUUUCCAAGAGAAUGUUACAUAUUGAGUUUAUAGUCUGGUGUGCAGAUGUGGAUAUUUCUCCCAAUAUUUCUCAGGCCACUGCAUCCUUGAAGCCAAGAAGGCCCAGAGCUUGCUGAGGUAGCUUUACACGGACAAAGGAACUACACAAAAAACCCAAUACCUGGAGCUUAUAUCGUAUACUGACUAGGCACUCCCGUCACUCAUGACUCACUCUUUCCCAUCUCUGUCCUGUUCCUCUACUGAUUUCAUUCUCUUCACCUAGAAUGCCCUCCGUUUGCCUCCCUUUACGGCUCAAAAUGUCCCCUAUCUUUCAAGACCCACCUAGCUCAAGCCCCAUCUCCAAGAAGCAACUUAAGUUGACCCAUCUUAGGACCCAGUGAUAAUUUUCAUGGCUAGAAAGCGUUCAUUAGCCCUUGUGAUAACUGGAGUCACUUACAACACAUAUCUAGCACGUGCUCAGAGAACACUGGGGAAAAAGAUUGUGAAGAGUGGCAGGGUCCUUGUAAAACGGAAAAAAAAAAAACGCUAGCUUUAAGAAUAGGCCCAAUAUAGUAGCUGCGGUACAUGAGAGAAAAGUUGUAGCUUUGUAAAGAAAAGUUGUAGCCUUGUACAGAGGGAUUAUUUUAGAAUGGCCUGACUUUGCGCUUUUUUUUUUAACAAAGGAAAAGAGAUAUAAUAUCUUAAAAGAAGGAGUUAAGACAUUGAAUAUGGCAACAUACAGUCUUCUAAAGUUCAAAAAUAUUAAUUAUGAAGCUAAAAUGUCAAGAUUUUACUAGGAACACUACGGAGCACAGCUGAAACAGGCAAAGACAGAGGUAUGGGCAUAGAAUCUGAAUUUCACCUACCCUGAGUCCCCCUCAGUCUGAUGGCUCUGCCAUGCAUUGUGAUAAACCCCGACAGUGCUUAGCUGGGCUGAAGCGAUGGCCCGUGGUAUAUUCUGAUAGUGAAAGAUAGAAUGACGCUCAGAAAUGCUGGAUGCUGUUAGAUAUGUAUAUGAUUUUAUUUAUGUGUAUAUUUUUAUAUCUAUAUAUACAAACAUAUAUAUUUGUAUGAUGUUUGGCAACCUCACUCAUGGUAUUCCUGUGAAGGAGGCAUGUGGUAAACAUAAUUAGCCCAUUAAACAGAUGGUAUGGCUCUGGCAUAGCUCACUAUAUUCUAAAAUGGUGGAGCUGUGAGCAGGGGCUGAAGACAGAGUGCAGUCUGAUACACGGUUAACUGCGAAUCUCUGUGAAUUGCUGCUUUCUAAAGACAAUCUGGGUAGGCUACACUUGGCUGAGAAUUGGCGAUGGUUUGGGAAGCUUUAAAAAUAUACAAGGGGACAACGUUCACAUUCAUUCAGAUAUAGUAUCUUCAUUUUUACUUACUAGAGACAUUUUUUGAAAAAUAGCUUUUUAUCUUAACUCAUCUGUGUUCCAAGCAAACUCCCAAAUUGCUGAGCAGAUUAAAAAAAAAAACCCUACAUGCCAAGUAGAAACACUGGGUACAUUUUUUUUAAUUGUCUUAACAAAGUGCACUAUUGGAAAGGAUAAAGUUGAAAGAGGUUUGGUACCACACACAUAAACUCAUAGUCAUUGUAGAGUUCUGCAUGAGGUGCCAUUUUACCUGGCUGGAUUGUGUAUGCUGUGGCAUUGCCACUCCAUGGUACGGCUGGCUUCACCGAACCUGAAAUUAAAUAUUGUAGCCCAAUUCUUUUUUUUUUUUUCGUGAGGAAGAUUAGCUCUGGGCUAACAUCCAUUGCCAAUCUUCCUCUUUUUUUGCUUGAGGGAGAUUAGCCCUCAGCUAACAUUCAUGCCAUCUUCCUCAACUUUGUAUAUGGGAUGCCUCCACAGCAUGGCUGAUGAGUGGAGUAGGUCCACACCGGGGAUCCGAACCCCAGCACUGGGCCUCCGUAGCAGAGCGUACGAAACUUUAACCACUCAGCUCUGGGGCCGGUGCCUCUAGCCCACUUCUUUGUCAGCUGAAACAGGGGCUAGCAGAAGUGAAAGGGUUACUAAAAGUUAAGACUUGAAUUUACAAAUGUAUUUGAACUGGCUUCCAGAAGACAUGAAACAUCAAUACAUCUGGAGAGGAGAACUUGCAAUUGACUGUUCUUUAGCAUCUGGUCUCAAGAACAUUUGCUGCUUGGAAGUUGCAUAAGCAGUGAAAAAACACACAAACAGCUUCCUGUACCAUGCUUUUGGUCACUUAUAAUGACGCAUUACAAAGUAAAACAGCUAAAUGUGAGCAACUGUGCCUUACUCCAGAUGACAACAUACGUUAUAUAACUAAGAUCAAUGACAGAGGACAUCUUUAUUUUAAGAGAUCUAGACUUGAAAAAAUAGUCAAAAAUAAAUAUCCUUCCUUCCAAGGUGUUUGUCUCGAGUAAUUUUGGCUAGAUUUGUUUUUAAUGUCCCUGAAAAACCACUUCUAAUUUUUUCCAAAUUAAAAAAAGAACAACAAAAAAAGCCAUCCUGGGGAAUGAAAUGUUCCAUAUAUAAUUUUUUUAAUGACAUAAACUUGCCACUUUAAGUAAUAAAAUAUGUUUUACACUUUUUUAAUAGAAAACUUUAAUAUAUCCUUGUUUGCUUAAACUGAGCAUGCUGAUAUCAUUUAUAUUUUUUUCUUAUGAAACAGGGUCAUCCUUGUGAACGCUCACUCCUCCUGUUCUUCAAUAAUACAUUUUAUUUUUCUUGAGAAUCAGACUCGUCCCUCAGCUCUCAGUCUAACGGCCACAAGCUGAGCUGCAGCCCACUGGUCACUGCCAUAGCUCAGGGGUGUCACCGUCCCAGUUUUUAAGAGCCAUCUCCUUCCAACCUUAAAUGCUAGGUAUAUUUUCUUGUCUGCUUUGGAUUGGAAAACCAGAAAAAUGAGUGCUGUAAAGACAAGAUUGCUUGGAAGCGAGGUUUAGUCAGAGACUUUGGGACACUCAUUUGCAUGUCUGCAGGUCUUCGUUUCUUUCUUUCUGUUGGAAUUCAGACUCUGAAUUGUCAGAAACCAGACUUCAAAGUAUUAUUGUAUAACACAGAGUGUGACUUUUAUGCUGUUUUAUUGCAGGGGUUCUUAUUUUCAAAGAGGUUGCCCAGAAAGCCAUUCUUGAUUACUUUAUUUGUAGGGCUCUGAUCCAUUCCAUCUCACCUCCUGAUUUCCGCAGGCAACGUAACUAACAUGAUAACUUCGAGAAAUAAUAGCACAUUUUUUAGGAUAAGGUGAGAGAUUCUUGCUAAUUGCCUUCAUCAUAGGGAUGGGAGCAAAAGUAUAUAGUCAAAUUAGAAAAUUUCUCUCUUCGGCCAAUUUUUCUCUAGAUUUUGAACAGGACUCUGGCCUAACUGGACAUUAGGAAAAAAAUUAAAAGUAUUGUGAAGCUAUUUAUAUUAAUUUAAGUGUUCAGAAAAGUAAUAUCCGAGCAUCUUUUCUCCCUUGCCCCAAAAGGAGAAAUCAGUAUAAUUCACAACCUGUGGUAGUCAGGAUAGGGAUUACGUUGCAAUUUACCUUUUCCCUCUCUCUGAAAAUAGGAUUUCUAAGCAAACUAAUAGUGUUAAGAUUUUUGAGGGGAGGGAGCAAGGAGAACCAUGUUUAACCUAUAAGAGGGGGAAAGAAAACUUUUAAAAUAUUUUAAAAUACACAUAUCUGAUAAGCUACUGAUAAUUCUUAUUUAUUUUGAAGCCUCUGCUCAAGAAACUCUUACUUAUUAACACUUGGAAAUCUCAGUUCAAACUACAUACAAAUAUUCUAUGAUUCAUACUUUCAGCUAAUUCAGUUUGGUUGUCUCUUUCCCAGUUCGUCUGAACUGGUGAAAUUUUACAAAAUAAGCAUGGGUAGCUUCCUAGAGUUACAUUUUUACUUGUUUAUUUGUUAAUUUUUGUAACAUGUUUAUGUGACAAAAAAAAGUAAGUGCUAGGUCUACUUGUUAUAGAUUAUUUUUGGACAAAGAGAGUUUGCAAGAAACUGUCGGUUUUACAGCAGCCAAGUUACUGGGGACUAAAGCAGAAGUUCAGGAAUAGACUGGUCUUCAACCAGUUUUCCACAACAGCAUCUGCGGACAUGGUUAAUGAGUUCUGAAAUUCAUUCACAUGGCUAAUCUUUUAGGAAUCUCAUAACCUUGCCUGACCUUUCCAUAAUCACGAGAGAAAAACCUUGGCAAAAUUAGAACCAGUCGUCAGGUCCUGUUUUCCUUUCUUCUACUCAUUUUCUUUCUUUCUUUUUUUUUGGUAUUGGAACAAUCAAAAGACUCCACGUUUUUAAAUUCCUUGGAAGACUAACGAUUGAAUAAUUUUCUCACUCUCUGUUUGCACUUUCACAGUCUGGUUGCAUUGAUUUGUGUCUCAUAAGUAGAUAUUUCCUUUGCUGGUUACAAAUCAAUGCUAUAGAACAAACCUGCCAGCACAUUCCCAUCUCCCCACCACCCUCACCUCCCUGCAGUUUGAAAAACAGAGCGCAGUUUUCUUUUAAAAAAUUAGUUUCAUUGGUUGGUAACAUACUAAAAGAAGAGAAAGCCCAAGAGUUUAAAAAAAAAAAAAAUCCGUGGGAAAAGGAGCGCCUCCCAAGUGGGUCUCUGCUGCUUUCUCAGCGCCUGGAGCAGAGGACCGCUUAGUGGGAGAGCAGCGCUCGUCUGCCCUCCGCUUCCGGUGUGUGCUCUGUUAACCCAACUAAGGUCCUCACCUUCAUACAUCACAAGGCUGCCCAAAGCCACACACUGUGAUGUCACAGUCAGAUAUGAUUUCAUGGCCGGAAAAAACAAAAAGGCAGAAAAGGUUGAAUGUAUUUUCCUUUUAUUCAAAUCUUCUAAGAGGGGGCAAAAGGGAAGAUGAUUUUUUUUUUCCCUAAGAGAAAAAGAGGACAAGCUUUCUCCCGUGAAUGUGAAAACUCCAUUCUGAAGAUUCCCCGGUGCUGUUACCCCAAGUGGAUAAGCACGAAUAAAGAAGCACAAAGAAGUACCCUCAUCAAUCCCAAUGCUCUCGCCACCGCUCAGCUACAGGUAGAGAGCAAGCAGGCACCAUUUGAUUUACCUAGAUUAAAAGAGCAAUUUUCCGUCCUCUUUUUUUCCUUUUAAAAAUAGCCAAUCGAUUUUGGCCUCGCUAUGGCUGACUGUACCAGGGCCAUUUUGAUACAUCGCUGAUUAAAUAGUGUGCUCAUGGCUGAAGGCAUGACAGCAGGAACAGGCAGAAGCUGCCGAAGGAAUGGGGAUGGGAGACCACAGGCCCCAGCUCCAGAAAGCCUGCUGGCUGACACUGCAGCGGAUGCUCCACGAGGGCCCGACCGCCAGCCCUUCGCCAGCGGACUGCCGAUAGCACAUUCUAGACUUGAACUUGGUGGACUAUGAUUCUGGGAGUUUGAAGCCUGCAAUUCAUUUAGCUUUUUAAUUCUGACCUUAAGAAUGAGAGAAAAAAAAUCAAAGUCCUUUGAUUUUUUAAAAAAUACGGAUGGGGGAAAUAUUGCCUCCUAAAUUGCAACGACAGCUGAACUGAAGAUGGGAAUUUGCUUCUCAGGAACAAGCCUAUUUAACUGUUUUUUAUGAAACAGUUACAUUUUCAUCAGUUACAGAGUUAGAGUCUUCUACCAAAAGGGGAUCUAGUCGUUUAGAGACCUUGGUUGCACAAAAAAUUGCACAAAAAAGAAACACAGAAACGAAACAGGUCUUUUAUAGACGGUGACUCUAUGUUGGGAUUCAUCCGCAGCCCUCAGAAAAGUGAGACGGUCUCCACCAGCUCUGGGAAGUAACCAUCUUGAUUACUACGAGAAAGUACAACCUUCACCGAAGUCUGUGUGGCUGGAAAAAUAUCCUAGGGAGGGGCGCUCAGGCCACUCUUCUAGAGCCCCAGCAUCCACAGACGUUUCUUCAGAAAAACGCAGAGUCCACCCGACAGGUGAGGCUGUCGUGCCACAAUGGAUCUGAGGACACGGGAAAUGCAUCUGGGAAUUAGUGAAAUCCAUUUUUAAAAAGUGAACCUACUUUAGUUUUUUUUUUUUUCUUUCAUCUACUGCUUCCUCUCUCCCUUUUGUUCUUUCCCAUUAUUGUUUACUUAAUUUGAAUCCUGGCCUUCACGGGGAUGGAACUGUAUCCAGAGGUACUAUUAAGAACCUGGCCAAGUAUAGAUGCAGAGGGUGAAACCCAAUCGCAGAGCGCUGACAGAGCUCCUCUUAUGGCCUGCAGAACAGAUCUACCGAGUCCUACACCUCCUGGCCAGCAGUGACAAACCCUUUAGGUCCAGAAGGGGGUUAAGGAGUGUAUAAGGUGAGCUGGAACCUGGAAUUUCUGUCAGCUCACUACACACGUUCGCCAAAUGGUCAAGUCCUCACUUUAAACCCCAGCAAGACAAGAUAAGCUCUGUCUGCCCAGCAGCCUUCCAGAGGCAUUAAGGGUAAGAGAGAAGAAUGACCCUGAAGAAUAAUCUGCUGCACGCAAGGGCCAACACCAGUGUAUCUCUGCUUCACAGCUUCUUCUUCAGCCCCCUCUCCAGCCCUGAGGAAUACAGAAGAAGAUGAAGUAUGGGGGAAUUCUUAUUCUAUUUAAGUCAGUUUUUUUCUCUCCCUCAGGAAGGAUGGCUGGGUAAAAAAAAUGGAGAGAAAUGAAAGACUAACUACUUCUAGCUUAGACCACUGCAUCUUCUGCUGACACUGUGGCUUUCCUACCUUUUCCCGGGGAUUUCUCGCAAUGAGGUUCAAAGCACACCUGGCAGCCACUCUGAGACAACAAAGGGCAGAGGCUCUUUGGAGCUGCGGCUGUCGCUUCUCUGGUGUCAAAGAUCAAACCUCGUGGCAGUGAAGUAGGACCUUAUGUAAUCACCAGUGAGAGCUUUGUAAAAGCCAUUUCAGUCUGGCGUGUGAAGAACACACAGCAAGAAGAACGUGGGGAGCAUCUGAAAGAAGAGUACAGCGGUAGAGGCUGCGUGGUCAUUUUGGUGAUCAAGAAGCACCAGCCAGGGGAGAGGUUAUUGUUUGAAUGCCAGUGUGAUUCAGAGAGAGGGCCAGGACACACAAUAUUCACAAGGAGCUGAGAGGAAGAAGUGUCCAGAGCCAUAAAGUCACCAGGGACACACCCAAAGGCAGCUGCUGUGAUGCAGACCUUGAGAGUUAAUUGUUCAUUCAAAGAGGAUUGUGAAACUCAAAUGUAAGAGGAGAAGAUGAUAAUCCAAACAGCACAAUUCUGGGUCUUUUUCUUCUUGUAAAAGGAAGAAAAAAAAAAAAGGAGAGAGAAAAAAGAAAACAAUACCCAGAAAUACUGUACCAUACUGGCAGUUUACUCUCUCUUUCUUGAACCAAAUCAGCAUGUUAAUGACAUAAAAACUUACUUUCCUUAUGGGGACAAUCAGGCUCUAUCACACACAACAUUAAAUACGCGGGUUUUAAAAGGAAAAACAAACCAAAUCACCAGAAACACCUCACUCUGGCAAUGGUGAGGUUGGCCAAAGCAGACUGUGUCCUUAAUGUCCAGCACAACCUGUGAAUCCAGAAAAGCAUCUAUGAAGCUAGACUGGAACUAUCAGGCCUCAUUUCCACCAAAGAGGAGUUCCCUUAAGGAUUCCGGAAGGGGGGAUCUGGAGGAGCUUUCAGUCUCUUUUUUGGAAUGACAGAACCAGGGCAGGCUCCUCUGGGGGUCAGGUCGGCCCCACCAUGCGGAGUCCCUGUGUCUAAAUGAUAAGUAAUCGAAAUGAAAAGACACUAUUUCAAUGGCUGCCCUGAAAGAGUCUUAAAAGCAAAUAAACAAGUCCCCAG